This 75-nucleotide transfer RNA is filed under the name Candidozyma auris. RNAcentral's name for it is "[Candida] auris tRNA-Lys". It matches the Rfam family "tRNA". From Rfam's summary of the family: Transfer RNA (tRNA) molecules are approximately 80 nucleotides in length. Their secondary structure includes four short double-helical elements and three loops (D, anti-codon, and T loops). Further hydrogen bonds mediate the characteristic L-shaped molecular structure. tRNAs have two regions of fundamental functional importance: the anti-codon, which is responsible for specific mRNA codon recognition, and the 3' end, to which the tRNAs corresponding amino acid is attached (by aminoacyl-tRNA synthetases). tRNAs cope with the degeneracy of the genetic code in two manners: having more than one tRNA (with a specific anti-codon) for a particular amino acid; and 'wobble' base-pairing, i.e. permitting non-standard base-pairing at the 3rd anti-codon position. The record is from RNAcentral. Lineage: Eukaryota; Fungi; Ascomycota; Pichiomycetes; Serinales; Metschnikowiaceae.
GGCCUUGCUAGCUCAAUGGCUAGAGCGUGAGACUUUUAAUCUCAAGGUUGCGGGUUCGACCCCCGCGUAGGGCUU